RNAcentral lists this transfer RNA (19 nucleotides) under Stigmochelys pardalis (leopard tortoise). RNAcentral describes it as "partial tRNA-Glu". The record is from RNAcentral. Lineage: Eukaryota; Metazoa; Chordata; Testudines; Testudinidae.
UUCAACUACAAAAAUAUUA